CCAGGUGAGCAUCUUACAGCCUGGAGCAGCGCCCACACCCCCAGGUGAGCAUCUGACAGCCUGGAGCAGCACCCACACUCCCAGGUGAGUAUCUGACAGCCUGGAGUAGCACCCACACCCCCAGGUGAGCAUCUGACAGCCUGGAACAGCAUCCACUCCCCCAGGUGAGCAUCUGACCACAUUGAAUGGCAUCCUCACCUCCAGGUGAGCAUCUGACAGCCUGGAACGGCACCCACACCCCCAGGCGAGCAUCUGACAGCCUGGAGCAGCACCCACACCCCCAGGUGAGCAUCUGACAGCCUGGAGCAGCACCCACACCCCCAGGGGAGCAUCUGACCGCAUGGAAUGUCAUCCUCACUUCCAGGUGAGCAUCCGACAGCCUGGAGCAGCACCCACACCCCCAGGUGAGCAUCUGACCGCAUGGAAUGGCAUCCUCACCUCCAGGUGAGAAUCUGACGCAUAAAACAGCACCCUGCAACCCCAGGUGAGCAUCUGACAGUCUGGAACAGCAUCCACACCCCCAGGCGAGCAUCUGACUGUAUGGAAUGACAUCCUCACAUCCAGGUGAGAAUAUGACAGAAUAAAGCAGCACCCUGCACCCCCAGUUGAGCAUCUGACAGCCUGGAACAGCACCCACACUCCCAGGUGAGCAUCUGACAGCCUGGAGCAGUACCCACACCCCCAGGUGUGCAUCUGACAGCCUGAAACAGCACCCUCCACCACCAGAUGAGCAUCUGACAACCAGAACCUGCACCACACACCCCAAGGUGGGCAUCCGAUGGCAUGGGACAGCACCCCCACUCACAGGUGAUGUGACUGCGUGGAACAGCACAUCCCCUCAGGUGAGCAUCUGACAGGAUAAAACAGCACCCCACAACCCCAGGUGAUCAUUUGCCAGCCAGGAACGGCAACCCACAUCCCCAGGUAAGUGUCUGACAGCCUAGAGCGGCACCUGCACACUUAGGUAAGAAUCUGAAAGCCUGGAUCAACACUCGAAUCUUCAGGUGAGCAUCUGACAGCCUGGAGCAGCAGUGCCCACCCCUGGGUGAGGAUGCUCACCUGAGGUUGGGAGUGCCAGUCCAGGCUGCCAGAUCCUCACCUGGGGAUGGAAGGUGCCAUUGUAGGUUUUUGGAUGUUCACAUGGGGGUUAAGGGUGGUGUUCCGGGUUAUCAGAUGCUCACCUGGGGACGCGUGGAAAACCAUGCCCACCACAAGGUGAGCAUAUGACAGCCCGGAACAACACCCUCCACCCCCAGGUGAGCAUCUGACAGCCUGGAACAGAACCCCACAACUUCAAAUAAGAAUUUGAUAAGUGGGAAAAAGCUCCCCGCCCUCAGGUGAGUGUCUGACAGCCUGGAACAGCACCCCACAACUGCAGGUGAGCAUCUGAUAGCCUGGAUAGGCACUCCACACAGCCAGGUGAGCAGCUGAAAGCCUGGAAUGGUAACCCACAUGCAGGUGAGCAUCCGACAGCCUGGAACAGCAGCUCACAUCCCCAGGUAAGAUUCCAACAGCAUGGAACAAGACCACUGCCCCCAGGUGAGCAUCUGGCAGCCUGGUAAAACAACCCCCUUCAGGUGAGCAUCCGACAGCCUGGAACAGCAGCUCACAUCCCCAGGUAAGAUUCCAACAGCAUGGAACAAGACCACUGCCCCCAGGUGAGCAUCUGGCAGCCUGGAAAAACAACCCCCUUCAGGUGAGCAUCUGACAGCCUGGAACAGCACCCUCCACCUUCAGGUGAGAAUAUGACAGCCUGAAACAGCACCCCACACCCCAGGCAAAAAUCUGACAGCAUGGAACAAGACCACUGCCCCCAGGUGAGCAUUUGACAGCCCGGGAAAGUACCCUCCAUGCACAGGUGAGCAUCUGACAGCCUGGAAACCCCCCCACUGCUUCCAGGUGAACAUCUGAUAGCCUGGAACAGAACCCCAGUUCUCCAAGUAAGGAUCUGAAAGCACGGAACAGCACUCUCACCCCCAGGGGAGCAUCUGACAACCUAGAACAGCACCCUCACCCCGAGGUGGGCAUCUGGCAGCAUAAAACAGCACCCCUACUGGCAGAUGAGCAUAUGACAGCGUGGAACAGCACCCACGCACCCAGGUGAGCAUCUGACAGCCUGGAACAGCACCCCACACCCCCAGGUGAGCAUCUGACAGCCUGGAACAGCACCCACACCCCCAGGUGAGCAUCUGACAGCCUGGAGCAGCACCCUACACCCCCAGGGGAGCAUCUGACAGUCUGGAGCAGCACCCACACCCCCAGGUGAGCAUCUGACAUCCUGGAACAGCACCCCACGCCCCCAGGUGAGCACCUGACAGCCUGGAACAGCACCCCACACCCCCAGGUGAGCAUCUGACAGCCUGGAACAGCACCCACACCCCCAGGUGAGCAUCUGACAGCCUGGAGCAGCACCCCACACCUCCAGGGGAGCAUCUGACAUCCUGGAACAGCACCCCACACCCCCAGUGAGCAUCUGACAACCUGGAGCAGCACCCCACACCUCCAGGGGAGCAUCUGACAUCCUGGAACAGCACCCCACACCUCCAGGGGGAGCAUCUGACAGCCUGGAGCAACACCCCACACCUCCAGGGGAGCAUCUGACAGCCUGGAACAGCACUCCACACCUCCAGGGGAGCAUCUGACAGCAUGGACAAGUCCUGCCCCCCGAACUCCAGCCCUUAAGAAAAUCAGAAGCCCUGGCAGGCACAUUGCCUCUGUGCUGUGCUUUUACCCAGCGAAGCAUCAGGGCAGACAGCCAAUUUCAACACUGCUCUUGGCUGGGAAGUGCCCUCAUCUCUGGCAGCCCCCACAGAGAAAGUGCAGGGCCCCGGGGCUGUGGCUGCCUCAGGGCAGGUCUCCCUUGUGACAGCCUCUUGUCAUGGGCCUGGGAGUGGACCCCUCCCAUCCCUGCCGUGCAUCCUGUUGAGUAGACAGCUCAGGCUAGUACCCAAGAGGGUGGCCAGCAGAUCACAGGGGAUGUCCCUUUUGUCUUAGCUGUUUAUGGGCUGGAGGAACCACUGUUCAGCCACAUCUCCUCUCCUGCCCCUCCUGCAUUCACCCGAGGUUGAUGGGAGCUCUGUGGGGGGAGACAGGCAGGGGAGGGGCCAGGCAACACCUGGGCAUAUCCCCAGGGUGCCUCCUCUGAUCCCCAGGAGGGGCAGCACCCACCCUCUUCUUUUUCCAAUUUGUUUUUAUUGUGGUUAAAUAUACAUAACGUAAAAUUUA
This 3225-nucleotide long non-coding RNA is filed under the name Homo sapiens (human). Its description in RNAcentral is "HSALNT0289829". Lineage: Eukaryota; Metazoa; Chordata; Mammalia; Primates; Hominidae. The record is from RNAcentral.